RNAcentral lists this ribosomal RNA (2141 nucleotides) under Escherichia coli. RNAcentral's name for it is "partial 23S ribosomal RNA". It matches the Rfam family "Bacterial large subunit ribosomal RNA", at positions 711 to 2831 of the family's 2925-position model. Lineage: Bacteria; Pseudomonadati; Pseudomonadota; Gammaproteobacteria; Enterobacterales; Enterobacteriaceae. The record is from RNAcentral.
AGACCCGAAACCCGGUGAUCUAGCCAUGGGCAGGUUGAAGGUUGGGUAACACUAACUGGAGGACCGAACCGACUAAUGUUGAAAAAUUAGCGGAUGACUUGUGGCUGGGGGUGAAAGGCCAAUCAAACCGGGAGAUAGCUGGUUCUCCCCGAAAGCUAUUUAGGUAGCGCCUCGUGAAUUCAUCUCCGGGGGUAGAGCACUGUUUCGGCAAGGGGGUCAUCCCGACUUACCAACCCGAUGCAAACUGCGAAUACCGGAGAAUGUUAUCACGGGAGACACACGGCGGGUGCUAACGUCCGUCGUGAAGAGGGAAACAACCCAGACCGCCAGCUAAGGUCCCAAAGUCAUGGUUAAGUGGGAAACGAUGUGGGAAGGCCCAGACAGCCAGGAUGUUGGCUUAGAAGCAGCCAUCAUUUAAAGAAAGCGUAAUAGCUCACUGGUCGAGUCGGCCUGCGCGGAAGAUGUAACGGGGCUAAACCAUGCACCGAAGCUGCGGCAGCGACACUGUGUGUUGUUGGGUAGGGGAGCGUUCUGUAAGCCUGUGAAGGUGUGCUGUGAGGCAUGCUGGAGGUAUCAGAAGUGCGAAUGCUGACAUAAGUAACGAUAAAGCGGGUGAAAAGCCCGCUCGCCGGAAGACCAAGGGUUCCUGUCCAACGUUAAUCGGGGCAGGGUGAGUCGACCCCUAAGGCGAGGCCGAAAGGCGUAGUCGAUGGGAAACAGGUUAAUAUUCCUGUACUUGGUGUUACUGCGAAGGGGGGACGGAGAAGGCUAUGUUGGCCGGGCGACGGUUGUCCCGGUUUAAGCGUGUAGGCUGGUUUUCCAGGCAAAUCCGGAAAAUCAAGGCUGAGGCGUGAUGACGAGGCACUACGGUGCUGAAGCAACAAAUGCCCUGCUUCCAGGAAAAGCCUCUAAGCAUCAGGUAACAUCAAAUCGUACCCCAAACCGACACAGGUGGUCAGGUAGAGAAUACCAAGGCGCUUGAGAGAACUCGGGUGAAGGAACUAGGCAAAAUGGUGCCGUAACUUCGGGAGAAGGCACGCUGAUAUGUAGGUGAAGUCCCUCGCGGAUGGAGCUGAAAUCAGUCGAAGAUACCAGCUGGCUGCAACUGUUUAUUAAAAACACAGCACUGUGCAAACACGAAAGUGGACGUAUACGGUGUGACGCCUGCCCGGUGCCGGAAGGUUAAUUGAUGGGGUCAGCGCAAGCGAAGCUCUUGAUCGAAGCCCCGGUAAACGGCGGCCGUAACUAUAACGGUCCUAAGGUAGCGAAAUUCCUUGUCGGGUAAGUUCCGACCUGCACGAAUGGCGUAAUGAUGGCCAGGCUGUCUCCACCCGAGACUCAGUGAAAUUGAACUCGCUGUGAAGAUGCAGUGUACCCGCGGCAAGACGGAAAGACCCCGUGAACCUUUACUAUAGCUUGACACUGAACAUUGAGCCUUGAUGUGUAGGAUAGGUGGGAGGCUUUGAAGUGUGGACGCCAGUCUGCAUGGAGCCGACCUUGAAAUACCACCCUUUAAUGUUUGAUGUUCUAACGUGGACCCGUGAUCCGGGUUGCGGACAGUGUCUGGUGGGUAGUUUGACUGGGGCGGUCUCCUCCUAAAGAGUAACGGAGGAGCACGAAGGUUGGCUAAUCCUGGUCGGACAUCAGGAGGUUAGUGCAAUGGCAUAAGCCAGCUUGACUGCGAGCGUGACGGCGCGAGCAGGUGCGAAAGCAGGUCAUAGUGAUCCGGUGGUUCUGAAUGGAAGGGCCAUCGCUCAACGGAUAAAAGGUACUCCGGGGAUAACAGGCUGAUACCGCCCAAGAGUUCAUAUCGACGGCGGUGUUUGGCACCUCGAUGUCGGCUCAUCACAUCCUGGGGCUGAAGUAGGUCCCAAGGGUAUGGCUGUUCGCCAUUUAAAGUGGUACGCGAGCUGGGUUUAGAACGUCGUGAGACAGUUCGGUCCCUAUCUGCCGUGGGCGCUGGAGAACUGAGGGGGGCUGCUCCUAGUACGAGAGGACCGGAGUGGACGCAUCACUGGUGUUCGGGUUGUCAUGCCAAUGGCACUGCCCGGUAGCUAAAUGCGGAAGAGAUAAGUGCUGAAAGCAUCUAAGCACGAAACUUGCCCCGAGAUGAGUUCUCCCUGACCCUUUAAGGGUCCUGA